This 497-nucleotide ribosomal RNA is filed under the name uncultured bacterium. Its description in RNAcentral is "partial 16S ribosomal RNA". It matches the Rfam family "Bacterial small subunit ribosomal RNA", at positions 28 to 507 of the family's 1533-position model. The record is from RNAcentral.
GAUGAACGCUGGCGGCGUGCCUAAUACAUGCAAGUCGAGCGAACAGACGAGGAGCUUGCUCCUCUGACGUUAGCGGCGGACGGGUGAGUAACACGUGGAUAACCUACCUAUAAGACUGGGAUAACUUCGGGAAACCGGAGCUAAUACCGGAUAAUAUAUUGAACCGCAUGGUUCAAUAGUGAAAGACGGUUUUGCUGUCACUUAUAGAUGGAUCCGCGCCGCAUUAGCUAGUUGGUAAGGUAACGGCUUACCAAGGCAACGAUGCGUAGCCGACCUGAGAGGGUGAUCGGCCACACUGGAACUGAGUCACGGUCCAGACUCCUACGGGAGGCAGCAGUAGGGAAUCUUCCGCAAUGGGCGAAAGCCUGACGGAGCAACGCCGCGUGAGUGAUGAAGGUCUUCGGAUCGUAAAACUCUGUUAUUAGGGAAGAACAAAUGUGUAAGUAACUAUGCACGUCUUGACUGUACCUAAUCAGAAAGCCACGGCUAACUACGUG